Molecule: long non-coding RNA, 1409 nt
Filed under: Felis catus (domestic cat)
Lineage: Eukaryota; Metazoa; Chordata; Mammalia; Carnivora; Felidae
Description: lncRNA (ENSFCAG00000053183.1)
Source: RNAcentral
UGGGAUUGUUAAUGAGCAGUUGAAUUUUUUUGUCACUUGGCUUUUCUAUACUUCCUGAGUUUCCUGUAAUAGCUACAUUUCACUUUCAUCAACAGAAAAAAAUCUACAAAUACUUGGUCUGUCAGGGGAAGCCCAAGUGGAUGUCCUGUUGUACAGACCGUGCAUUGCACAAGUCUAGGAGAUGCCCUUUGCAGCAGAGUCCCUGCGCAGGGCCCAUUUGAGCUGUGAGGAGUGCACUUGGCAUCCCAGCUCCUCAGUGCAGGAAGGUAGUUUAGCGUGUGGCCACAUGUGUUAGAUAUGAAGUCCUCUGAUUGUUUUAGGAGGUGGCCUUCAGACAUCUUAAUGCCACUCUUCCUCAUGAAAUCCUGUUUGCUGGCUCCUACCCAGCUUACGGCAGGUGUAGGUGGGGUGCCCGUUGUUCAUCAAGCUCCUGCUAGGAAGAGAAGAGUUGUCCUGCGAAACUAACUUACGCUAUUUCUUUACCCUCCGUGACAACUCUGUGAAGCUGAGGUCCCCCUUAUUCUACAAGGGUGGAUGACGGUGUAGUGGGGUUAGAUGACUCCCUUCAGGAAGAAGAGUUGUGAGUAGACCUGUUUGUUUCUUUCUGUGCAUCCCCACGGAACCCUUCCCUCUCUGCCUCCUCCGAGGAAGUGUGUUCUCUAUUCAGCCAACCUCUAGAUUUUAUCCCGUUGAUCACUUCAGACCCUCGACCUUAUUUCGUAUAUCCUAUAUCAACAUUUCCUGCAGAAAAGGGUUGCUUUAUAGCUGAGUCCAUACAAAAUCAAGCAGAUCACAGGGUGCCCUCUGUGACGUCACAUUGAACAAAUGGUAAUUCUAACAACUGCCCCCGAAUAAUUCUUUUUUUUCCUUCUCCUCCGUGUACCGUUCAUCUUCCCUGCAAUUAACAAUUGGCCAUCAAGCCGACAGCGUCUCUUCCAACGGGGACGGAUGUCACAUGUCCAGCCACAAGGUACAGGGAUCUUAUUUCUUCCACCCAAACAUGUGGCAAGUGAAAUUGUGCAUGCAGAGAGCCUGGUGUGGAACAUUUGAAACCAUAACUGUCCUUAAAAGUCCAAGUCUUUAUUGCCAGCAGCACAGGGAGCUGCAGGAUUCCCAAAGCCUCAACUCCACGUGGCUCCUGAAGUCCCUGCCCCAACCCUCCUGGUCCCUUCUCUGUCUCCCUGACCCCAGAGAGGACGGAUCCCUAUAGCUGCAGCACAACUCAGGUCUGGGCCCCAGACGUUGGCCACGUGAUCACCAAAGGGUACGUCAGUUUGAAGGGUUUGGUUGAAAUUUCUGCUUGAAGUCACCGAAUUCAGGUUCAUUACACAGAUUGAGCAGUUCAGAGCAAUUCUUCAGCGGUUUUUGUUUUUUCCUGUUCAAUAAAACUCUGUAUUCAGAAUAAACCA